Molecule: long non-coding RNA, 930 nt
Organism: Nicotiana tabacum (common tobacco)
Lineage: Eukaryota; Viridiplantae; Streptophyta; Magnoliopsida; Solanales; Solanaceae
Source: RefSeq, a predicted model, not a curated record
UUCAAUUCCUAAUCAAAGGAAAAGGGACCCUCCCCUUUGAGCAAAAAACCAGCCGCACACCCACCUCUCUCUUCACUCUCACCUUCUCAAAUCUGCUUCAUCUCCAACGCCAGCGACCCUCAUCUCCGGCCAUCACUCCCAACGAGAUCGGCCUCCACCCCUAACAUCUAAAACGAUAGAACAUAACCGGAUCCCUCGCAUUAACCUUUCCAAAGCUGCCGCAUUCUCAGAAACAGAAUAAAGUCUACCAAAAAGAGAAAUUAAAGGUUGUUCCUAAGGUUGUUGUGCUUCUGUUGAGCUCCGAGUUUUCCAGAUUUUUCGGCGAGUCCGUAGGAAGUUGAUCUGAAGAAUCACAAAUGGGGUCACUAUUUCAUUUGCGGUGUGCAUUUAGUGGAACUGUGCGCAGCUGGCCAAUGUUUUGCUAUGAAUGCAAUGGAUAAGAGCAUAAUGCUUAAUCGAAACAAGACCAAAACCCAUAUUUGUCUAAUAAUUGAUUACUACCCUGGGGGAGAGCUAUUCUUGCUUCUAGACAGACAAUCAACAAAGGUGUUGAAGGAAGACGCUGCAAGGUAGUAUUGCAAAGGUUGCCUCAAUGGAAGAAGUGAGUAGAUGUAUAAAUUGAACAGCUAACGCAGAACAGAAGAAUAUACAUCUACUACUUUGAACAGAGUAUAAAUCACUUAAAACUAGAAUGCUUCAGUAGCUAGAGAAAUAUGUAUUUUAUUCAUUCACUAAAUGACAACAUAGUUUGGUCAAUCACUGGUAUUGUUUAUUUGUUUGGUUUCAAUUAGUUUGUGUUGAUGUUGUUUUGGUUUAAGUACUUUGAGAGACAUGUUAUUUAGUUUAUAAGCUUGUUUGGAUGGUUUGAUAGCCAUGUUGUUGUAUUCCAAAUUGAUAUUCCACUAAUGGUAUUGCUUCUAAUUGGUAGUA